Molecule: ribosomal RNA, 914 nt
Filed under: uncultured archaeon
Lineage: Archaea
Description: bacterial SSU rRNA
Rfam family: Archaeal small subunit ribosomal RNA
Source: RNAcentral
UUCCGGUUGAUCCUGCCGGACCUGACUGCUAUCGGAUUGAUACUAAGCCAUGCGAGUCAUUGUAGCAAUACAAGGCAGACGGCUCAGUAACGCGUAGUCAACCUACCCUAUGGACGGGAAUAACCUCGGGAAACUGAGUAUAAUGCCCGAUAGAACACUAUACCUGGAAUGGUUUGUGUUUCAAAUGAUUUAUUGCCGUAGGAUGGGACUGCGGCCUAUCAGUUUGUUGGUGAGGUAAUGGCCCACCAAGACUAUUACAGGUACGGGCUCUGAGAGGAGUGGCCCGGAGAUGGGUACUGAGACACGGACCCAGGCCCUAUGGGGCGCAGCAGGCGAGAAAACUUUGCAAUGUGCGAAAGCACGACAAGGUUAAUCCGAGUGGUUUCUGCUAAAGGAACCUUUUGUUAGUCCUAGAAACACUAACGAAUAAGGGGUGGGCAAGUUCUGGUGUCAGCCGCCGCGGUAAAACCAGCACCUCGAGUGGUCAGGAUGAUUAUUGGGCCUAAAGCAUCCGUAGCCGGCUCAGUAAGUUUUCGGUUAAAUCUGUACGCUCAACGUACAGGCUGCCGGGAAUACUGCAGAGCUAGGGAGUGGGAGAGGUAGACGGUACUCGGGAGGAAGUGGUAAAAUGCUUUGAUCUUUCGAUGACCACCUGUGGCGAGGGCGGUCUACCAGAACACGUCCGACGGUGAGGGAUGAAGGCUGGGGGAGCAAACCGGAUUAGAUACCCGGGUAGUCCCAGCUGUAAACUAUGCAAACUCAGUGAUGCAUUGGCUUGUGGCCAAUGCAGUGUUGCAGGGAAGCCGUUAAGUUUGCCGCCUGGGAAGUACGUACGCAAGUAUGAAACUUAAAGGAAUUGGCGGGGGAGCACCACAAGGGGUGAAGCCUGCGGUUCAAUUGGACUCAACGCCGGG